AUAAGCUGUCAACUGUCAAGUGUCAAAACUUUUUUUCCUGUUUAUCAACAAAUCCAUGUGAUAAUUUUGCUAUUAUUAUAUUUUUGUUUUAUAUAAAUAAAUAAUACAAUGCCUUUAAUGACACGAACAGAUGUUACUGCAGUUAAAUUUUUUGAUAAUUAUGUGUUGGCCGGAAUUGGAAGUCAAGUGAAUGUGUUUGAUAAGAACUCUGGCAGCUUUUUAUGUAAGAAGGAAGUCUUAACCGGCCAAAAAAUUUAUGGUUUUGUCAUUUCAAAAUGUAGGCAAAGAAUUCUGGUUUUUGGGGGGAAAAAGUUUACUGUGGUCAAAGUGAAGGUUGAGUGUGUGGAUACCAAUAUGAUAGAGAGGUGUUUCGAGCCUGUUGUGUGCAACGACUGGCUGCACUCAUGCUUGUGGAGUGGAGAGAAUAUAGCACUACUCACUGCACACAAUGUUGUUCAGAAAUGGGAUGUUAGCGCCCAAACCCUAGUCUCAGAACAUGUCAGUAAAGACAACUCUAUAUUGUAUAGUGGCCUGCUUGUACCGCUAUGUGAGGAUGUUCUUGUGAUGGCUGGCACUGUGUUCUCUGAGGUCAUCAUACAUAAAUGUGGAGAUAAGGUGCCUUUACAUCAGUUAACGGGACAUAAGGGUGUAAUAUUUUCCAUAUCCUGUGAACCAGACAAAAACUUAAUAGUAACAACGUCUGAUGACAGAUCAGUCAGAAUAUGGAGUCCAAAAACCAUACCAAUAUUACCAAGUAAUAGCAUAGACUAUUGGCAGAGCAUAGACAUAGUCUGUCAAUAUGAGCUUUAUGGGCAUCAGGCAAGGGUCAUGAGAAACUGCAUAACAAACAGUUAUAUAGUCUCAGUGGGUGAAGAUUCUGCUAUAUGCAUCUGGGAUUUUGAAGGAAAAUUGCUCAAAAAGAAUACAGCACAUCAAAAUGGUUGUAUAUGGGCUGUGGAUUAUUCUGAUAAUCUCUUAGUAACAGGAGGUGGUGAUAGUGGAGUUAUCUUGCAUCCACUGGCAACAAACAAAGAUUAUUGUGAGAGUCAAAUAAUCAAUAUAGAUGUUGGCAUGCCCAAAAGAGUUUUGUUAACUGCAAGGAGGAAUGUUGUCAUUCUUAAUGAUAAAGAUGACUUUAUAUAUUAUAUUGUUGAUAGUAAAAAGACUACAGCAUACAAACUCAAUCAUGAAUCUUCAUACAAAUUGCUAAGUCUGUCUUCUUGUAAACAAAUGGUUGCUGUUGCUGAUAUGAAUGGAAAGUUUGAUGUAUUUGCGGAAAGUUGUAAAAAUGAACCAGUACUUGUUAACUUAAUUGAUACAAAGUUACAUCUAGGCAAGAUAUUGUCUAUGCACUGGGCUGGAAACAGACAUCUAGUAUUGUGUUCAGAGGAUGGUAACAUUAAUGUUCUGGCUUAUAACAAUAAUACCGAACUUUAUGCUUGUUUUACACUACCAGCUUGCAAAGAAAGAUGGUUGACAUCUGCAGCAGUUGAUUCAAAAGCAAACAUAUUUGUUUUGGGUGACAGAUGUGGCAAUGUUAAUGUAUAUGUGAAAGGAAAACGAGACCCAAUUAAAACAUUUAUUAAAGUACAUGGCAGAUAUGGGCCUACAUCUAUUACUAUUAAAAAUAACCAUGUAGUGACCACAGGCAGGGAUGGUGCUAUCAAAUAUUUUCAUGUAGAUAGUAUUUCUAAUCAAUUCAAUUAUAUGAAUAGAAAAGAUCUGGAAUUUCCAUGGGUGGAAAAGUUCUUAGACAAAGAUGAUAACUUAAUCUGUGGAUUUCAAGAAAGAGUUUUUGUUGUGUAUAACAUGAGGGACAGUUGUAAAGUGUUGGAGGUGGCAUGCGGCGGCGGGCAUCGCUCGUGGGACGCACAGCGGUGCAUUAUUAAAACUAAAGAUAAAUUUGAACCAAUUAUCCAACUAGUUUAUGUCAAAAAUUCAGAUAUAAAUUUACAAACUUAUUUCUUAAAUAAACUUAUGUCAAGAAACUUAAUAAAAGGAUCUCAUAGCAAAGAAAUAAAUUGUUUGAAAGUUUAUAAAGACUCUCAGGAUAACACAAAACCUUUUUAUAUAUCGGGAGGAGAAGACACAACACUGAGAAUUUCAAAUGCUGAUAUUAGACAUGACAUGAAUAUUACAUUUAGAGAUGAAGUAGUGUUCAAACAUUUGUCUAGUGUUAGAACUUUAAAGUUAGUUCCUACUAUUCCUAAUGGUUUAUUAGUUAUAUCCGGUGGUGGACGCGCCCAAAUUAACAUAAAAAAUGUUAAAUUUAUUAAAAAUGCAGACGAAAUUGAAGUCGAUUCACAAGAACUUGUAGAAUAUCUAGUAAAAGGUACCGAUAAAGAACGAAAAGGUAAUCAAUCAUGGAAAAACUGCACAGUGGAUUUUGAUCCUGAGACUAGAAUUAUGGAUAUAGAUGUUAUCAAAGACAAUGAAGAUCUAUUUAUAUUUGCUGGAUGUUCUGAUGCAGUUUUGCGUAUAUUUUCAUUUAACAAUACAUUUAAAACAAUCACAGAAUCGAAGUAUCACAAAACCUGUAUAUUAAAAACGCAUUGUUUUCGAUUUUUGGAUAAAGAUAUCCUUGCUACAGCCACAACUAGAGGAAUUGUUGCUUUCUGGCUGAUCGAUGAUCUCCACUCAAAAGAUAAUUGGGAACCAUUUUUUAUAGUAAAAACACGAGAAUCUGGUGUAAACAGUAUAGCAACAAAGGUUUUUGAUAACAAUAUACUACUUGCGACCGGAGGCGAUGACAACAGCAUACUACUGCAUUUUCUGAAACCUAACCAGGGAGAGUUGACCUCUUUAGCAAUUGAAAGCACUUGGUCUUCAUCCAAUUACCAUAGUUCUCAGAUUACUGGUAUACUUAUCGUAGAAGACUUGCUUUUAUCCACGUCCAUAGAUCAGAGGAUCACACUGUUUAAAUGGAAUAUUGAGAAUGGUAUAGAUUGUGAAUACAAAACCCAGAUGUAUAGCAAUGUAGCUGAUAUACAGGGAAUGGAUGUUCUGGAUGUUUCGAGCGAUUCGAUAAAAGUAUGCGUGUUCGGUAAAGGGCUGGAGGUGGUCAGCAUACCGAAACAUUCAAACUGACCGCACGAUCUCAAUAUGAAAUUAAUUUACAAAACUUCAACAAGAAUUAAUAUGGUACAUUUAAAUAACUCUUCAGUGAAACAGAAUAUAACACAAUCGUUAUUAUAAUUAUUUGGUGAUGUCGCCCCAGGUGGAAGCGGUGACGAAGCCGGUGUGGCUCGGCGAGGGCCCGCACUGGGACAGCGAGGAG
This 3277-nucleotide unclassified non-coding RNA is filed under the name Manduca sexta (tobacco hornworm). RNAcentral describes it as "regucalcin-like, transcript variant X1". The record is from RNAcentral. Lineage: Eukaryota; Metazoa; Arthropoda; Insecta; Lepidoptera; Sphingidae.